Molecule: long non-coding RNA, 4750 nt
Organism: Macadamia integrifolia
Lineage: Eukaryota; Viridiplantae; Streptophyta; Magnoliopsida; Proteales; Proteaceae
Exons: 4
Source: RefSeq, a predicted model, not a curated record
AAAGAAAAGAAAAAAGAAAGUCCUGUUGAAAUGGAUUUGACAUUUGUUGGCUUUGGUUAGAGAAGUUCAUCUUCCUCUCCCUGUAGCUCUUCAAUCUCUAAUUCUUCCUACACUAAAGAAGUCUCUUCGAUUCUCUCAAUCAGUACCCCUCUUCAAAGUGGAAUCUCUCCAUGAUUUUCUCUUAAAGAGGAAGCUACCAAUUUCAAAUCUGUUGGAGUUAAACUCAAAGAACCACAGAAUGCAGGAGCUGUGAAUUGAGCCACUGCUUUUUCAUCAUGCAUUUCAGGUUAGCGGUCUGAAAUAACACAGGAGUAUAUCAUUGAUGCAAUAGCACUUGACUGGUAGGACUUGCAUGACCGGCUUUGGAAGCCAAGUAUAUCAUUUAUUUUAUGUCUUUAUUUCAUGAAUUCAUGCCUUUUAUUUUCAAAGUAGGCUACGUAGGAUAUUCUGUUGUGUUUCCAAAUUUGAUUUUAUUCUUUAUUUGAAUAGGUUUCCAUAUUUGAGAUGUUUUUCUUUUGUAAAUAUGUAAUCGAUGGACAAGUGUUGAGCAGAUUGAAGAAGUUGAAUAAGAAGUACAGUUGGUUUUUGAAUUCUGCACGAGUUGCUUGGUUGUGUGCUUCUCUUCCUUCCCCCUCCUACUCUAGUCUCUUCCUAGUCUUUCUCCUUGAUAGGAAAUAAUUUUAUUUUUUCAGUUUCUUGGUGAAGGUUCUCAUUGAUGUUAUGAAGAUGGGUAGAGAUGGACUUCACAUGAAGUAAACAAGAGUGAAAAACAAAAAUUACUGUGUUCCACGAUCCCUUAUGCAAUAUUGUUUUGUAUGCUUUUUUACUAGAUCAUAUCAUCUCUCAGUCUGUUACUCAUACGUCUCUCCUUACAUAUUUACAUGCCCCUCUCUCAAAAGACACAUCUCUCAUUCUCUUCUAUGGAUCUUAUCCCUUUCUCCUUUGAACCAUCGCACCCCCUACACCAUGCAACCCCUGUUCUCUCUCUCUCUCUAUCACAGAUAGAGACCCCAAUCGUGGGAUCCUUAUCCUGUUUCCUAUCAGACCAUUGCCCCUAAAAGAGAGACCCCCUGUCAAAUGGACACCUCUGUCCCAUGUCUCCAACUCAUAUAUUUCUCUCAUCCCUGACUCACUCACAGGUCACAACCCUCCCAUUCUCUUUCUCUCUCUCUCUCGACAGAGGAAAGUAAUUUGGUGAUGGUGUUUUGGUUAGCAAUAUUUCUGUUAUGAUGGUUGUUUAAGUGCAGCAGUAUCCAGAGAAUCUGAGUUUUACCUUGUGUGGUUUGCAGGAAUGGAUGGAUUCCUGUGGUGGGUUUUAUGAAUUAUAUCUCAAUCCCCAACAGCAUGAACAGAGCAACAGUUAAUAUCAAUCUCAUGAGAAAAGUGUGACUUCUUCUUCGAGUGGGAGAGUGGCGCGUAGGAACCCUAGGAAAGCAGUUUAUGGGGGCACACUGGAAUGUAUUUCAUGGUUCUUUUUCUUGUUUUUCGGUAAACAUUUCUGGGAUCUUUAAUAGUGGGAAUUAUCAGCCUGGUGAGAACUCUGGCAAAAAAUCUGAAGGCAUGGUUUAAAUCUAAAUUUCUAUCCAGAGAGUUCCAUCCAAAUGUAAUGAUGGCCAUUGGAGAAGAGAUUAUUUCUUCCCCGUAGGUGAAGGGAAACUUCAUCCACUAAAAUGAAUUAAAGGUAUAGGCUCCAUUGGUUUCGGUGUAAAAUAGGUGCAAUUGAAAAUUUUACUGUAGAAUAAAAAAUUCCAGCAUAUGUUUUGAAAUUUGUAAAAUUUGUGUGACGGAAAAUUUUACCAGAACCGAUGCAUUUACCAGAAUAUAGGGUCAUAAUUUUUAAGCCUGUUUUGAGAGUAAAAUAUUACUUCGUAAAAUUUCCCACUUACUCGAAUCUCGAUACAUCUUGCUCAUUCUGUUGAAUCUGUCCGCUGUUGAGAACCAGAGAAAUGUUCCUCCGCUUCCGUAUCUGCGUGAUUGAGAACCAGAGGUUUCAUGUCCUCCACUCAUAGAUCUACCUUCCAGUGAUUCUCUGCAACAACUAUGGAGAGGUGUCAAUGAUAUUGCUGAAGGUUGAUGUUCGGUGCCUACGCUGCUACAAGAAGAUUAACAAAACUCUUUGUAAAUACCGGGUUAGCCAUUUCAUCUCAUCUAUUCCCUUAUAUUUCCCCCCACCUUCUAAGAUUCUGCCUCUUCAUUUCUAUUGGUAUCCUUUUCCUUUUCCGGUGGAACUGCUGUCUACUAGUUUUUUGACAGUCAUGUGUUCAUUAUCUUCUUGCAGUCUUCUGACAUCUUAUUUCUGUUCAAUGGAAUCAUUAGGAAGUUGGCUGGACUCACUCUUGAUGCUGUCUGUUGUCAAACUCUCUCCAUCUUCAGAAUCCUGUGGCUUCAGAUGAGAAAUUUCCUGUUCUUUCCAUAUCCGAUUAGCUGAAUCAGUACUUUCUAAUUCAUUGUAGGUCAGGUCUUAGGCAGGGUAUCCCAUCUCCGCAGCAUUAUUCAUUUUUAUGUCUACGAGUUCUUUCUUCCAUUAUUCACCAAGCCACUCAUCAGAAACAUCUCUUUCCUCUGCAUAUUACCAGGUCUGGCCUAAAAACUGAUCAGCUACUUUUUGCCAAUGAAAACCUCUACUUCCUUAAUGCUUAUAUUCCAAGUUGCCCUAAAUUCAGGGAGAUUCUGAAUCAGUUUGGUUCUAUUUCUUAGCAAUAGAUAAAUCUGAAUAAAUAUUGUUCUCCGUCCCAACAUUCUCAAAUGCUCGUAAUAGACAUUUGGCUGCAAUAUUUGGGGAGUCCGCUUCUGAUGGGCGUACUAACACCCAAAAAUUUAGUCCUUCAAUGAAAGUUCAGCUGAAAUUGCAGCAAUGGUCCAAUUCCUCUCUUUAGCCCAUUUCCUGUUUGUUUUGACUUGAUGUUUGAGAACCAUCUGUUCUAAUUUCCUGGUACAGCUGGAUGAAGGAGUUUCAAACUCUUUUUUUCUUUUACUCCAUGUGUUUGUUCCAGAGUCGUCUUUGUCAUUGAGUUGGUUCAGAUGUCCAGAGGCAUUGUCUGUUUAGGUGGAAUUGUAUCCUUGUUAUGUGAGCAAAUUGGUUUUGAUGGCAUGGACCUCCUAGAAAUGGUGUUUGUCAGGAAUGUUACAGAUUUGCCUUACACUUCUAGUUCAUUAUUUGAUGUGGCAAUGGAGAAGUUGAAAAUCAUGUCUGUUACAUGUUUAUUCUGGGACUUUCAGCUCUUGUUUUGACAUAACAGUAGAGAAAAGUUGGAAUUCAUUGGUGUUUGUCUUACAUUUUGGACUUGGUUCAUGAGGAUUGGUUAAUCAGGUCAGCUAUCACAUGCAUCAUCCUCUUCUUCUUUCUAUAUUUUCCCAUGUGCAUGCAUGUCUUGAGUUUCACCACUUCUAUUUUUUGUCAAGUAUCCAUUUGCAUUAUUGAAUGGGUUGUAAGCAGUAGUGAAGGACUCAACGUUGGCUUAGAUGGUCUAGUGAAAGCCCAGAAGAAAGAGAUUUUCAAAAAAAAGAUUUUAUAUGGAAGGUUCACCGAUUGGUGAUGUCUUUCCUGACACUAUUUGUUCUAUCCAUGGAUUAAUUUUUUGUAUUAUUUUGAUUGAUGAUACAAAUAAAGUUCUUGUCAUGCCUUCUCCUUGUUCAAAUUUUCAUUGGUGUUCUAAUUUUAACUGAGAGGUUAGAGGCUUCUUAUUUGAAAAACUAUGUUUAUUUUAUGGGAAAAGGCUGGGCACAGCCUGUCUCCUUCUCUCCCCCUUCUAGUGAAAAGAUCUCCUACCGUCCUUUGUCCCCCCCCCCCCCCCCCUUUCCCAUGUGCUGCUGCCCACCAGCUUACCUGGAGCGGGCAGCAUGCAUAUCCCUUCCCCUUGUUUUAUGGACUAAAUUGUUUAACCUUCUUUAUGAUGCCAGAAGGCUUCCAAUUUGCUCGUCAAUAUGAUGCCAAAAUGAGUAAAUUGCAAGUUACUACAAAUUUUGUGCAUAUCAUCUACCUUGUUUUUAGUUUGAGAUAUUUGUUGACACAUUACUCGUGGCAUUUGAAUGCCUCAUCUUUCUUACAAUAUGUAGCACCCCCAAAACAUAAUAAAUUAAUAAAUCUAACAGUAUUUGAUAUGGUAAUUGGUGGAGCGUUAUUAUGGAUAGAAAUUAGUUUAGUGAAUAUCAUGGAAUAAAAAUUUCAGGUUAACAUUUUGAUUUGGCAGGUUCAAAGAAUGGUUUUGCAGAGAUUUUUUUUUUGUUUUUUUGUUUUUUAGGUUUCUUGAUCAGUUUUGUUUUGAGUGGUUGUUAUGGUCAAGUGAUGGAAGUUGUAGUUGGUGGUAAUAGACUUAAGAGGGAAUGCUUGUAGGAGUAUAAGACAGGAAAAUAGGUUUCAAUGUCUGAAAGUUACUACUAGAAAUGAAGAGGAUGAGAUAACUAUUACCUGUGGGUUACUUGUGAAAAGCCCCUUGUGCGACCAAGUUGUUGCCUGCCAAUGGAAAGUUCUCUCGAUCCUGACGACCCUAUUAUUGUUGAUCCUCAUUAUGCUUCAGUUUCUAAGAUACAUCAUCUGCACUUUUUGAUCUUCCAUUUCUUUUAUUACAGUCAUUCUCAACAUUGAAAGUAUUUCCAAUGCUUGCUUGCCAAUUAUUGCAAGCUGUGCCUGCUGUUUACAUAUGUUAAAGAUUCAUGAUUUGAAACUAUAGUCCCUAGGCAUAGUUUCAUGUGAUAGAUAUUUAUCUCCCUUGCCUGUGUGCCAUGAUCUGACAAUCACAAGUCGGAAGUU